UACGGAGGGGGCUAGCGUUGUUCGGAAUUACUGGGCGUAAAGGGCGCGUAGGCGGCCACCGCAAGUCGACUGUGAAAUCUCCGGGCUUAACCCGGAAAGGUCAGCCGAUACUGCGGGGCUAGAGUGCAGAAGGGGCAACUGGAAUUCUCGGUGUAGCGGUGAAAUGCGUAGAUAUCGAGAGGAACACCUGCGGCGAAGGCGGGUUGCUGGGCUGACACUGACGCUGAUGCGCGAAAGCUAGGGGAGCGAACGGG
RNAcentral lists this ribosomal RNA (254 nucleotides) under uncultured bacterium. RNAcentral's name for it is "partial 16S ribosomal RNA". It matches the Rfam family "Bacterial small subunit ribosomal RNA", at positions 524 to 776 of the family's 1533-position model. The record is from RNAcentral.